RNAcentral lists this ribosomal RNA (1513 nucleotides) under uncultured Propionibacterium sp. RNAcentral's name for it is "16S ribosomal RNA". It matches the Rfam family "Bacterial small subunit ribosomal RNA". Lineage: Bacteria; Bacillati; Actinomycetota; Actinomycetes; Propionibacteriales; Propionibacteriaceae. The record is from RNAcentral.
AGAGUUUGAUCCUGGCUCAGGACGAACGCUGGCGGCGUGCUUAACACAUGCAAGUCGAACGGAAAGGCCCUGCUUUUGUGGGGUGCUCGAGUGGCGAACGGGUGAGUAACACGUGAGUAACCUGCCCUUGACUUUGGGAUAACUUCAGGAAACUGGGGCUAAUACCGGAUAGGAGCUCCUGCUGCAUGGUGGGGGUUGGAAAGUUUCGGCGGUUGGGGAUGGACUCGCGGCUUAUCAGCUUGUUGGUGGGGUAGUGGCUUACCAAGGCUUUGACGGGUAGCCGGCCUGAGAGGGUGACCGGCCACAUUGGGACUGAGAUACGGCCCAGACUCCUACGGGAGGCAGCAGUGGGGAAUAUUGCACAAUGGGCGGAAGCCUGAUGCAGCAACGCCGCGUGCGGGAUGACGGCCUUCGGGUUGUAAACCGCUUUCGCCUGUGACGAAGCGUGAGUGACGGUAAUGGGUAAAGAAGCACCGGCUAACUACGUGCCAGCAGCCGCGGUGAUACGUAGGGUGCGAGCGUUGUCCGGAUUUAUUGGGCGUAAAGGGCUCGUAGUGGUUGAUCGCGUCGGAAGUGUAAUCUUGGGGCUUAACCCUGAGCGUGCUUUCGAUACGGGUUGACUUGAGGAAGGUAGGGGAGAAUGGAAUUCCUGGUGGAGCGGUGGAAUGCGCAGAUAUCAGAGGAACACCAGUGGCGAAGCGGUUCUCUGGGCCUUUCCUGACGCUGAGGAGCGAAAGCGUGAGGAGCGAACAGGCUUAGAUACCCUGGUAGUCACGCUGUAAACGGUGGGUACUAGGUGUGGGGUCCAUUUCCACGGGUUCCGUGCCGUAGCUAACGCUUUAAGUACCCCGCCUGGGGAGUACGGCCGCAAGGCUAAAACUCAAAGGAAUUGACGGGGCCCCGCACGAGCGGCGGAGCAUGCGGAUUAAUUCGAUGCAACGCGUAGAACCUUACCUGGGUUUGACAUGGAUCGGGAGCGCUCAGAGAUGGGUGUGCCUCUUUUGGGGUCGGUUCACAGGUGGUGCAUGGCUGUCGUCAGCUCGUGUCGUGAGAUGUUGGGUUAAGUCCCGCAACGAGCGCAACCCUUGUUCACUGUUGCCAGCACGUUAUGGUGGGGACUCAGUGGAGACCGCCGGGGUCAACUCGGAGGAAGGUGGGGAUGACGUCAGGUCAUCAUGCCCCUUAUGUCCAGGGCUUCACGCAUGCUACAAUGGCUGGUACAGAGAGUGGCGAGCCUGUGAGGGUGAGCGAAUCUCGGAAAGCCGGCCUCAGUUCGGAUUGGGGUCUGCAACUCGACCUCAUGAAGUCGGAGACGCUAGUAAUCGCAGAUCAGCAACGCUGCGGUGAAUACGUUCCCGGGGCUUGUACACACCGCCCGUCAAGUCAUGAAAGUUGGUAACACCCGAAGCCGGUGGCCUAACCGUUGUGGGGGAGCCGUCGAAGGUGGGACUGGUGAUUAGGACUAAGUCGUAACAAGGUAGCCGUACCGGAAGGUGCGGCUGGAUCACCUCCU